This 151-nucleotide ribosomal RNA is filed under the name Paraglomus occultum. Its description in RNAcentral is "5.8S ribosomal RNA". It matches the Rfam family "5.8S ribosomal RNA". From Rfam's summary of the family: 5.8S ribosomal RNA (5.8S rRNA) is a component of the large subunit of the eukaryotic ribosome. It is transcribed by RNA polymerase I as part of the 45S precursor that also contains 18S and 28S rRNA. Lineage: Eukaryota; Fungi; Glomeromycota; Glomeromycetes; Paraglomerales; Paraglomeraceae. The record is from RNAcentral.
AACUUUCAACAACGGAUCUCUUGGCUCUCGCAUCGAUGAAGAACGCAGCGAAAUGCGAUAAGUAGUGUGAAUUGCAGAACUUUGUGAACCAUCGAAUCUUUGAACGCAAAUUGCGCCUUUUUCGGAAGGCAUGUCUGUUUGAGGGCACCAU